UACCAGCACCCCGAGUGGUCGGGACGUUUAUUGGGCCUAAAGCAUCCGUAGCCGGUUCUACAAGUCUUCCGUUAAAUCCACCUGCUUAACAGAUGGGCUGCGGAAGAUACUAUAGAGCUAGGAGGCGGGAGAGGCAAGCGGUACUCGAUGGGUAGGGGUAAAAUCCGUUGAUCCAUUGAAGACCACCAGUGGCGAAGGCGGCUUGCCAGAACGCACUCGACGGUGAGGGAUGAAAGCUGGGGGAGCAAACCGG
Molecule: ribosomal RNA, 253 nt
Filed under: uncultured bacterium
Lineage: Bacteria
Description: partial 16S ribosomal RNA
Rfam family: Archaeal small subunit ribosomal RNA
Source: RNAcentral